UUAACAGCUGCCGGUUAAAUGCUGAGCCAGGUAAAAAAGUGUUUUACCCCGUGGUGUUCAGUCUUUACAACCCUGCCAUCGUCUAUGCCAACCAGGAAGUGCCACCUCCCGUGGAGCAGCAGCUGGUGAGACUGUAUCUUUGCUUAGGAAAGGCUUAAUGGUCUUUUCUAAUUUCCUUUCUUUGUUGUAAAACUAAAAUUUCAAUUAAAAAAAUAGCUGUUUCAA
RNAcentral lists this long non-coding RNA (225 nucleotides) under Rattus norvegicus (Norway rat). Its description in RNAcentral is "long non-coding RNA NONRATT021763". The record is from RNAcentral. Lineage: Eukaryota; Metazoa; Chordata; Mammalia; Rodentia; Muridae.